UGGGAGUCACCCUCGAUCUCCACCUCCCGCAAACCAAGAUGUAAACCAAGUUGAGUAUAAUUUCAUGAUUAUUCCAAGUUGUCAAGUUUAUAAAUGGAAUUCAUUUAAGAAUUUUAUUGUACUGGAUAUGAAUUUAUAAACUAGUAUAUUUCCUUGUACUCAUUUUGACAUCUCCUCAUAAAGUGGUUAUUUCAUAACUAAACUUGCGAAAACAGAAAGGUUCAUGAUCUGGCUCUUUAGAAUAUAAGACUAAUCAUCUUGUUUUAUAAGACAUGAAAAUGAAUAAUAUUUGAAAUAUACUUAUUAUAUGCAUAAAACUGGUGGGUAAGUCCAAAAGAAUUAGCAACCUUUUAGCACUUAAUUUGAGGAAAAAUGUUGGGGAACAAUUAGAAAUAACCCAAAAAUUAAUUCAUCUUAACAAGAGAAAGGUGAAACUUUGAAUAACAGAGUUUAUCCCAUCAAAGAAGUUCCAAAAUCCCUGAGCUUACAUACAAGCAACUAAAAAGUUAAAUCAAACUUCAUCAAAUUUCCCAUUUCCUUAUUAUCACAAUUUGAUCAUUCUAUAAUCAAGUUUAGGGUUUUAUAAAGUUCCAAAAGCUAAAACAAAAAGGCAUGUCCUUUUUCGAUUCUAACCCUUCAAACUAUACUAAAAACCAAAACUUGAAACAACCUAGAUUAGAGACCGUAAACAAAAACCAAAAUAAUGGAUCAAAAAAGUAUCUUUGAUCAAAUAUGAACCCAAUAUAAAAAUAUUUCAGAUUAGAGGUGAAGCAAAACUAACUUGUAAAAUAAACAAGAAAAGAGAGUGAGAUACUUAAGAGUAAAACCAGUAAAAGACCAACGAGAAAGCCGAAAACAGAAAAAUGUCUUUCCCCUCAAUGUCUUGUCGAAUCAACUUGUUUUGGGACAAUGAGAUGCUAAAUCACAACACAGGCAAAGAGGUGUUCAAUACAGAGAUGAACCCUGGGUUGGGGUGGUAAUGAAAGGGAAAGGGAAGGGUAAGAGGGUUUAACAAAGUGCUGGGAUGUGAAAAGGAGAAAGGUUGAAAAAUGUCAUACGAAAAAAAAGGGUAAGACAUUUUUCUAAAAAAAGGCACCAUUUUCCUAUGUUUUGGAGAAUGUUUUACGAUGAUAAUUCAUUUUCCACCAAAAAACCAUCAGAAAAGGUUGAAAAUAUUUUUCAUAAAAGUUUUCACAGGUAAACAAAAGGAUCCUUAAUAUAUUUGUUUCCUUGUGCUAAAUGAAAUGUUUUCACCAAUUUUACUUAAACAGUCUUUAAAAAUUAUUUUUACUACGAAAAUUUUUGGAAAACCAUUGGUUUCAGUGGAUAAACGAAUUCAAAAUGAUCUGAAAUUUUAUAUAUUAUUUCUUGACACUUUGGUAUAUUGAAAAAAAUGUUUUCCAAAAAAUAAAAAGAAAAAGAAAAAAUUUUAAAAAAUAAAAAAAAAGACAAAAAAGAAAAAAAUUAAAAAAAUAUUUUGUCGGUUGAAUUUUGUGCCUAAAAUUUCAAGAUCGAAUAUUUAUCAUAUAAAAAGGAUCUAGCUUAAUUUUCGUGAUUUUAGCAGAUCGGGAACACCUUGAAUAUAAAAUUCAAGUUGUUUUCUACUGUUUUAGGUUUUCGGGUGGGUAGUUUAUAUUUUUUGAUUCUAGCCUUAGGUUUUCUUUUGUUUUUAGUUUUUCUUAUUCUAUUAUGGAUUCUAACAAAUUUUUGCUUUUGUGUUAAUUGGUAUGAAAAGAGUCGCCUCUUCUAUCUUCGCGCAAUUUUUCGCGCAACUUACUUCAUUUGGUAUAUUAAAUAAUAAUUAUUUAAUAAAAAAAUUAUUUAAAAGUCAUCAUGAAACUAUUGAUUUUUUUAAGUAAUGGUAAAAUUUCCAUUAAGUCAUUUUCAUCAAAAUAAAAAUAGAAUAAUUGAACUUUAGUUUCUAUACUUUCCCAACUUAUUUAGUUUAGUCCCUGAACUCGAUAUAGAAUUUUAAACUUAAUCACAUGCUCCUACUAAUAAUUUUCUAUGUUUUCAUGUUUGACAGUUUCCUCUAAAAAUGAUCACAAUUUCUUAUACAACUAUUUAUUUAUAGAUUACUUAUUUAAGGACUUCUACCAUAAAUAUUCUUUUUUUUUAAAGUAGGGAUGUUACCUUGAACUCCAUAUUGGGUAACUAAGUUUAGUCUUUCAAAGCCCAUCAUAUAUUAAUAUUUAAUUAUUAUUAAAGUUAUAUAAUUAAAAACUGAAAAAUACUUUGUUAAUAUAAAGUAUAACCUUAUAGCUUAAAGGGCAAAUUAUAUGAAAUAUAAUUUGGCUAAAGGUGUGAAUGUUAUACAAUAUAAACACCUAAUCUAAAAUACAUAGUAAUUUAUAUAUAAAAUUCAAAAUUUUAAAAAUUCUAAAGGGUGCGACUGUCUAUUUGGAUCCAUCAUUGGCCGCCAACAAUAUACUUAUUUGAAGGCAAACAUUAAUUGUUAAAGAUUGCUUGAUUUCUUGGAACAUACAAGGAUGAUGCAUGCAUCAAAUGCAUAAUUAAACACAAACCAUUCAAUAAAUAAGUAUUGAUUGUAAUGAUAAAAUAUAUUACACUUAUAAGAAGAGAUACAUAUUUGAACUUUAGAAGCGAUAUUGUUGAGAGGGAUAACCUUGAACCCUAAACAUGGUACAAAUUGAUGAAAUUUUUAACAGAAAUGAUCAAUUUGCUCGUUGAUCUAACAUAAAAGGAUUAGUUUGCUCAUUUUUAAGUAAAAGAGGCCAAAUGCAAUCUGACUCCUAAUAUAGGUGCAUUCAUGGUACUUUUACCCUAUAUUCUCAUAAAUUAAAAUAAGGUCAAAAGAUCUAGAAAGCCCUAAACAUUUUUCAAAAAAAUAAUUAAAGCCUUUGAAUAUUAAAAUUUUAAUUAAUUAAGUUCUUUGACCGUUAAAGAGUGAUGGUUGUUGUUUUUGGGUUAUUUUUGCCACGUGUCAUUUUAAGUUAGUACUAUGUGACGAAAAUUGAUAUUUUAUGUUUAAAACCAUUUAAAAAUUAUAAAUAGUACAAAAAUAUUAAAAACAAAACUAUUAAAAUAACAAAAAAAAUAUAAAAAGAAAUAUAAAUUACAAUAAAAAUAAAAAUAUUGUAAAAAAUGAAAUAUAUUUAAAAGCUAUAGAAAAUUAUUAAAAUUUCUAUAAAAUAUAAAAAAUAUUAUAAAAAGCAUAAAAUUAUAAAACAAAUUAAAAAUAUAUGAAAAUUAUAAAGCUUAUAUUUUUUCAUUUGCAUACUAACCAUUGUUAACAAUACAACACCGAUUAAAAAUUAUAUAAAAAAUUAUUUGAUUCCUUAAGCUAUCUAUUGUGUUAAUCUUACACAGACCUCCCCAAUGCUUGCACCCCUUUGUCCAUCAUCGAUGACAGGAGAGUCGUUUUGAGAUGCAAACUAAGGAGCGAAAUGGAUGGGAAGGAACCAAUGCUAUAUACCAAAUUGUAGGAAUUUUAUUAUACAAUUUUUUUGUAAUUUUCUAUAAAGUUUUGGGUUAAUCCAUUAUUUGAGGUUUGAACUUGGUAAGUGUUAUCACAUAGGAACUUAAAUUUUUUUGGUCCAAGUUAGUCCUUCAACUAAUCAAUUGAUCUUGCAUUGGGACUUGAAUUUUUUUUUGUUCAAAUUAAUCCCUAAUAUUUCCUUGAAAAAAGUUGGAUAAAAAAAGUUUAGGUUACAACAUGGGAGCAAUUGUCAAGUUCAAGGGCUAUCUUGGACCAAAACAAAGUUUAAGUCCCAAUAUGGGAGCAAUUGUCAAAUUCAUGGAUUAACCUAGUUAAAAAAAAGUUUAAAUCUUGUGAGAGCCAUUACUAAAUUCAAACCUAAAAAAUAAAUUAACCCUAAUUUUUUAAACUUCUAUAUUUUUUAAUAAUUUUUCAUUUCCUAUUUUUUUUAUAAAUAUUUGUAAAUUUUAUCUAUUUUAUAAUUUUUUAAUAAAUUUAAAUAAAAAUUAAAUUUCCUUCAAAAAUAAACUAAAAAUUGCAGCUGUGUAAGAGUUGAGGGUUAAUUUAACAGUUGUUUUUGGGGGUAACUGCUAACUCUUUAGCCUUGAAAUAAUAAAAAGAAAAGAACCAUAAACAAAUCUAAACCUUUGAUCCAAAACGUGUGUGUUUCUAAAGCUAAGGAGAGAAAAGAUUUAGAAGUAGGAGCCAUUAGCCUUUAUACGUAUAAUGGAGGAGUAAGAGACAGAUAUAGAUUAUAGCGACAUCGUUCUCUGGGAAUUCUUAAAUAGCACCAAGCAAGUCGGGUUUCUGUGAUCUAACAUUAUCCAAACUCAUUGCUCAUUGCUUCAACCUCAGAACACAACAAAAUCCAAGUACAGAAUCCACUAACAAACCACGAAAAUAUAGAAAAAUGUGUUGUAUAUUUUAUUGAUCAAAAAAACCAAAAAAAAAAAAGGGCACUAAAUCCAUUUUGAUGGAUACAAUUACAAGUGCCUGCAAUAUCUCACUCAAGCUGCUUGCAGAGAAUUCAUUUUUGAUAAUCAGUGAUGUAUCUUAAGUCAAGGAAAGUUCGAAAAAAGAAGAACGUUUCUUUUAUGGUUUGAAAGGAGCAAAAACUACCACUGAAUUGUGUCCACCGAAUCCAAAUGAAUUGGAGAUAGCUGCAGAGAUAUCAAGAAACAUAAAUUAUUUACAAAAAAUACAAUGGCUUAUACCAAUAACAUUGACCUCUUCGAUCCUUAUUGAAAUAACAUCAACUUUUAGUUGGAGAAUAAGAGUACGUACCAACAUUGACUUCAUGCUGUUUCUUCACAUUGGGAACAGUAUCGAUUGUCACUUCAGGCUCCAAGUUCUGCAUAGAAGAGAAGAUACAAGAACAUCAAAUCAUUUGCAAACCAAGGGUUCUUUUUGCAAAAUGUUGGGUGAAAUAUUUACAUCUUGGUUAAUGGUAGGAUGCAGCCAGCCAGUUGUAAUUGCUUUUACGGUUGCUAUGGCCUCCAAUCCUCCAGCAGCUCCAAGUCCAUGUCCAAUCAUUGACUGAAAUGAGAAACAGAAAAAAUUGCUUUAGUCCUUAGCCAUUUUCCAUAGCAUCAAAUAUAAUGGUUUGUAAUUUUUGUUUGUCACCUUUGUCCCAUUCAUCUUUAUCUCAGAGGUGUUCUUGAAGACCAUUUUUAUUGCAUUAACCUCAGCCAAAUCUCCUGCCAACGUGGAUGUCGCAUGAGCAUUUACAUAGUUCACCUGCAGAUCAAUGGUUCAACAAUGUAUAAAUUGUUCAAGUUUCUUUUCAUAGUCAAAAGUCAAAGUGUUGUUCUUGCCUCUUCAGGGGAAACUCCAG
This 5273-nucleotide long non-coding RNA is filed under the name Gossypium barbadense (sea-island cotton). RNAcentral's name for it is "long non-coding RNA (GBAR_LNC007345)". The record is from RNAcentral. Lineage: Eukaryota; Viridiplantae; Streptophyta; Magnoliopsida; Malvales; Malvaceae.